Oryzias latipes (Japanese medaka) is the source of this 573-nucleotide long non-coding RNA. RefSeq lists it as uncharacterized. The record is from RefSeq and is a predicted model, not a curated record. Lineage: Eukaryota; Metazoa; Chordata; Actinopteri; Beloniformes; Adrianichthyidae.
UUUUUUUGCUAGAUUCUCACGUAAACAAUAGUUUUUGGAUCUGAAAUAAGAAGGAUGAGCUUAUUUGAGCAUUUAUAUGCACAUGUGAAACCCAUGGAAGGAAGGUUUUGUCACGGUGCCUGUGUCAGCCACCUCCCCCUCCCAGCUCACCUGCUCCUGCUCUGCUGAUUGGAACCAGCUGUCCUGCAUCUCCUCAUCUCCUGCCUGCCUUCAUAAGGGUUCUUCUCUUCAGUAUCCAGCGCCAGUUUGUUAUACUCACUCCGGUCCACUUACCAUUGGUCACGCUGGUUCCUUCAUCCAGAGCUUCUCUUCACCCUGGUCUCGCUGUCCUCAGCGCUCACGUCCUUCCUCAAGUUGGUUUCGCCGUCCUCGGCGCCCACGCCUUCCUCAAGUUGGUUUUGCCGUCCUCGACGUCCACGUCGCUGGAUCCACGGAUCACCUCGCUCGUGGGAAAUACUCCACCAGUUCUCGUCGUCCACAUCUCCGGUGACGUCAGACCUUCACCCGAGGAUUACUCCACGCACCUUGAAACUGUUUAUUCUCCUCUAAGAAAAUAAACCACCUUCAAGCUAA